RNAcentral lists this long non-coding RNA (302 nucleotides) under Triticum aestivum (bread wheat). RNAcentral describes it as "long non-coding RNA (TAES_LNC024223)". Lineage: Eukaryota; Viridiplantae; Streptophyta; Magnoliopsida; Poales; Poaceae. The record is from RNAcentral.
GAAAAUAGGAGUACUCCGGCUGCAGACGCAAACCCAAACCAAGCGAAAAAUAUCCACUGAAUCUCUCUCGCUGCUCGCGGCCGCGGCGACCGGACUAAGGAAGGAAUCGAAGGCGACGAUGGCGUGCCGAGCCCUCGCGCUCCGCUCCUUGCUGCUCCCCGACCCCCUCCACCACCUGAGUCUCCGCGCCGCCGCGUCGGCCCCGGCGGCGCCGUUUCCUUGUCGCCGCCGCCGCCGCAACCUCCGCUGCUGCUCCAGCUCCAGUGGGGGCGGGCCCGGGGAGCAGGGACAGCCGCCGCAGG